GCACUGUUGAAGAGUCCCAUACUAGGAUGAAACGGCCGUCCAGUGC
Schistosoma curassoni is the source of this 46-nucleotide non-coding RNA. The record is from Rfam. Lineage: Eukaryota; Metazoa; Platyhelminthes; Trematoda; Strigeidida; Schistosomatidae.